UGCCUCAGUAACGGCGAGUGAAGCGGCAACAGCUCAAUUUGAAAUCUGGCCCUCUCAGGGUCCGAGUUGUAAUUUGUAGAGGAUGCUUCGGGUACGGCUCCGGUUUAAGUUCCUUGGAACAGGACGUCAUAGAGGGUGAGAAUCCCGUAUGUGACUGGCCGCCACGCCCGUGUGAAGCUCCUUCGACGAGUCGAGUUGUUUGGGAAUGCAGCUCAAAAUGGGUGGUAAAUUUCAUCUAAAGCUAAAUAUUGGCCAGAGACCGAUAGCGCACAAGUAGAGUGAUCGAAAGAUGAAAAGCACUUUGGAAAGAGAGUUAAACAGUACGUGAAAUUGUUGAAAGGGAAGCGCUUGCAAUCAGACUUGCCCGCGGGUGAUCAGCCGGUAUUCUUACCGGUGCACUCGCCCGUGGUCAGGCCAGCAUCGGUUUGGGCGGUUGGAUAAAGUCCUCCGGAAUGUAGCUCCCUUCGGGGAGUGUUAUAGCCGGGGGUGCAAUGCAUCCUGCCCGGAUCGAGGACCGCGCUUCGGCUAGGAUGCUGGCGUAAUGGUUGUAAGCGACCCGUCUUGAAACACGGACCAAGGAGUCUAACAUCUAUGCGAGUGUUUGGGUGUCAAACCCAUGCGCGUAAUGAAAGUGAACGGAGGUGGGAACCCUUAAGGGUGCACCAUCGACCGAUCCUGAAGUCUUCGGAUGGAUUUGAGUAAGAGCAUAGCUGUUGGGACCCGAAAGAUGGUGAACUAUGCCUGAAUAGGGUGAAGCCAGAGGAAACUCUGGUGGAGGCUCGCAGCGGUUCUGACGUGCAAAUCGAUCGUCAAAUUUGGGUAUAGGGGCGAA
RNAcentral lists this ribosomal RNA (832 nucleotides) under Acarospora pulvinata. Its description in RNAcentral is "partial large subunit ribosomal RNA". It matches the Rfam family "Eukaryotic large subunit ribosomal RNA", at positions 76 to 927 of the family's 3401-position model. The record is from RNAcentral. Lineage: Eukaryota; Fungi; Ascomycota; Lecanoromycetes; Acarosporales; Acarosporaceae.